Molecule: long non-coding RNA, 1653 nt
Filed under: Oryctolagus cuniculus (rabbit)
Lineage: Eukaryota; Metazoa; Chordata; Mammalia; Lagomorpha; Leporidae
Description: lncRNA (ENSOCUG00000038981.1)
Source: RNAcentral
GCAGGGGUAGAGGACCAAGGGCGAGAGCCACCUCCUCCGCAAUCCCCCGCCCCUCGGCGCCGACGCUCCGCGCUCCUGCCGGCGCCCCAUUGGCCGAGGCGCUCGCCAAUCCUGGUGAAGCGGCCCUGUGAGUGGGCCCUGGUUGGUGGAGCCGGCGCUGAGCCUCCCUCCGGCUCCGGCCGGGCCCCCUGCCGGGAGGGGGCGUGGCCGCGGCCGUGGUCCGGCCGGAGGCGGCGUCGCUCGCGCCGCUGCGUGCGGUGUGGUGCGGGAGGGGGCGCCGAGCGGCCGCGGUACGGCGGGACCAUGGAGCUCGGAACGCAGUCCCGGCGCCGGCGGCGGGACCGCGGAGCGCAGGGCCAUCCAGAGAGUCCUGGGUGCAGUCAGGAGAGUAACUGCCUCUGAAGUGAAGUGCACGCCACCAUUAUUCCUGAGGUGAUCCCAUCAAUCAGAGGAUCCGGUGCAGGCAGAGUGAGACCUGGGUGACCCGGCACCCAGGGAUACUUCUCUGUGUUUCCAAGUAAGGUGUUCACUUGGGCAAAUUACUUCGGGAAAAAUUUUGUUUCCUCUGCAUCAACUAGAGCUUGCUCUGCAGCUGUUCCUAAGGCAGAGCAGAAAACUCUGUGUGCUUUCCAUUUAAAUGAGCAAAAUGGGACAUGUGUGAAAGUCUAAAAGAAGCUUUUUAGACUUUCCACUGGGUGAUGGCGGUCUUAACCGUGUAGGCUGUCAGAAUCUGCUGACCUGCAUGUAGCUCUUAGGGGUUGAGACCCAACAUUGCCUUUCCUUCGUACUGAAAUCGCACCGUUUCUACAUUCCUGUGUCUGGACCCCUCUUCACGAGGCUGUAGGCACACCUGCCCGCUGCUGGGCAGCCAGACUCUACUUUCUUGUGCCCACCUUGUUGUAUUCUGAUUACCUGCAUGGAGCUGCUCCCACCCAGGCUGAACGGUGUCUUCUCCCUCAUUUCGCAUGUUUGAAGGAGGACUAACUCACAAGACCUUUGGUGCUGAACGCAUGAAUGCCCAUUCACGGAAUUUUUCUUGCCCAUUCUUCCCAAGUAAACCAUAACUCUGAAUAGGGAACUAUAUCAUACAUUUUGUCACCUCAAAACUAUAGCACAUUGGUAAACAAUAUUUAUCAGAUUGUUGUCUAGUCUUGCUGUGAAUAUCCAGUAUCUGGAAACAUUUUAGAGGUCUUUUGGGCAGUAUCAAGUUUUUGCUACUGUUUUUUUCCCCACUGGUACUGUUAAAAUAUUUAUAAAAUUAUCAAGAUUUGUAUUGAAUUUAAAUAUUGCUGUGGGAAAAAUUAAUAGAAAACUCUUAUUAGGUACAGUUUUUAUGGGAAUGAUUAUAUUAUUCAGGUCAUUGUGUGGACACGAACAAAAUGUUCAGUGUAUGUAUUGUUGUUGAGUAAAUGAAGUGAGUAGCUCAGUUGAAUAUACCUAUAAUAUACUUGACUUUUUGUUUUUCUGCUCUUUGGUUGUUAUUUACUGAGUUGUUGCAGUUAAUUUCAGAAGUGAUUCCAGGAUAAGUAGUUAGAAUUAUGUAGGAAUUCACAUACCUCAUUAGCUCCUUGUUUGAGCUAACUAAAAAAGGACUAGUUCUGGGAUUAGAGCUCUACCAAUAAAUUUGUUCAAAUGUGAAAAUUAAAUGGAAGA